GAUGAACGCUGGCGGCGUGCCUAAUACAUGCAAGUAGAACGCUGAAGGAGGAGCUUGCUCUUCUGGAUGAGUUGCGAACGGGUGAGUAACGCGUAUGUAACCUGCCUUGUAGCGGGGGAUAACUAUUGGAAACGAUAGCUAAUACCGCAUGACAACAGUUAUUGCAUGAUAACUGUUUAAAAGGGGCAACUGCUCCACUACCAGAUGGACCUGCGUUGUAUUAGCUAGUUGGUGAGGUAACGGCUCACCAAGGCGACGAUACAUAGCCGACCUGAGAGGGUGAACGGCCACACUGGGACUGAGACACGGCCCAGACUCCUACGGGAGGCAGCAGUAGGGAAUCUUCGGAAAUGGACGGAAGUCUGACCGAGCAAAGACGCGUGAGUGAAGAAGGUUUUCGGAUCGUAAAGCUCUGUUGUAAGAGAAGAAAGAGUGUGAGAGUGGAAAGUUCACACUGUGACGGUACCUUAACAGAAAGGGACGGCUAACUACGUG
Molecule: ribosomal RNA, 495 nt
Filed under: uncultured bacterium
Lineage: Bacteria
Description: partial 16S ribosomal RNA
Rfam family: Bacterial small subunit ribosomal RNA
Source: RNAcentral